This 494-nucleotide ribosomal RNA is filed under the name uncultured organism. RNAcentral describes it as "SSU rRNA". It matches the Rfam family "Bacterial small subunit ribosomal RNA", at positions 20 to 509 of the family's 1533-position model. The record is from RNAcentral.
UGGCUCAGGAUGAACGCUGGCGGCGUGCCUAACACAUGCAAGUCGAACGAAGCACUUCUGAUCGGAGAUUCGUCAAAGAUUGGAUUUGACUUAGUGGCGGACGGGUGAGUAAUGUAUGAGCAACCUGCCUUUCAGAGAGGGACAACAGUUGGAAACGACUGCUAAUACCGCAUAAUGUAUUGAGAGGGCAUCCUUUUGAUACCAAAGGAGCAAUCCGCUGAAAGAUGGGCUCAUAUCUGAUUAGUUAGUUGGCAGGGUAACGGCCUACCAAGACUGCGAUCAGUAGCCGGACUGAGAGGUUGAACGGCCACAUUGGGACUGAGAUACGGCCCAGACUCCUACGGGAGGCAGCAGUGGGGAAUAUUGGGCAAUGGGCGAAAGCCUGACCCAGCAACGCCGCGUGAAGGAAGAAGGUCUUCGGAUUGUAAACUUCUUUUAUGAGGGACGAAGGACGUGACGGUACCUCAUGAAUAAGCCACGGCUAACUACGUGCC